GAGGCGUCAUGGCCUCGGCGUACUGCUCAGUAACACGUGGACAACCUGCCCAAAGGUCCGGGAUAACCCCGGGAAACUGGGGAUAAUACCGGAUAGGUCACAAAUACUGGAAUUUGUUUUGUGGUUGAAACUUCCGGGGCCUUUGGAUGGGUCUGCGGCGGAUUAGGUUGUUGCCGGUGUAACGUACCGUCAAGCCUGUAAUCCGUACGGGUUGUGGGAGCAAGAGCCCGGAGAUGGAUUCUGAGACACGAAUCCAGGCCCUACGGGGCGCAGCAGGCGCGAAAACUCUACAAUGCAGGCAACUGCGAUAGGGGAACAUCGAGUGCUCA
Molecule: ribosomal RNA, 329 nt
Filed under: uncultured crenarchaeote
Lineage: Archaea; Thermoproteati; Thermoproteota
Description: bacterial SSU rRNA
Rfam family: Archaeal small subunit ribosomal RNA
Source: RNAcentral